CUUGUAGUCCUCGGAUGACCUUGAACUGGAAACAGAUGAAUGUCGAGAAUAAUUUGUGGAAAUGUGGCUGAUAGAUGGCGUUCGCUUGCUGGCCCACCGACUAUUCAGUGAAGGAAGGGAGAAGUCUCGUCAGAGACUCCGAUCUGGUGUGUCACACGUGGGUCGCCUCGUCUCAGUCCGCCAUGAAAAGAAAAAGAUAACCGCGUAUCCACCUAAAUCCAGCCCGUCAUCGUCUCAUCGUCGUCUUCGUUUCAUCGUCUCAACGCCGUCUUCGUCUCUUCGUUUCAUUUUCCACCUCGUCUGGAAAAUGGCUUCUUUAAACCCAGCAAACAGUAUCUUGCCAGUUGCGUUUAUCUCACGCAAACCUUGGCAGUUGAAUAUAUAAACAGUGGACUUCCCUCUAAGACAGUACCGCAUUCCAGCGUUUACCAGCGAACGUAGCAGACAUGUCGCGCAGUCACUUUUUCUUGGUCGCUUUGUUCCUCGCUGUGCUAGUGGCGUAUUGCUCCGCCAUACCAGUUGAAGUCGGAAGAGUCUGCAGUUUCCGCCGUAGUCUCAACAGAUCCAACAGUUGAAAAUGCAAGACCUAAACGACAGUUUGUUGCUGGACUCUUGAUAGGAAAAGCUCUUGGAGCUGGAUACGGUUAUGGAUUAGGUCGUUCAGCUUACUAUGGCGGAUAUGGAUACUCCUAUCGUGGCUAGCGGCUACCCUGGUCCUUACGGCGAUUACGGAUACGGAGGCUACCAUUACUGAACGUUACUGCAUUCAACAUUUCCCACAGAACGACUGGAAUGAACGGACAGAAUAAAUUUGUUAUCAGCACCUCCAUAUAAGGAAAAUUUAACAUUUCUCCAAGACUUGCUAUUGUAAAACGUGCGGAAUAGACCUGAUGCAUGACGUCUGAAAAAACUAGGAUCCGCUCUUGGAGACCGUUUGUCACUUUUUUCACGGCCAUCCUGCGGUCAUCACUUCCACAUACGUAGGCGCCAUGUGUGAUACGACGUCCCAGGACCAAUGAGCUCCAUGAGCGUCACAACAACACCACAUCAAGCAUUGCAGCUGGCAAAAUGGCAUGAGAGGUGAUGCUUUCGCGUCUUAUUCCUUGUUGGGUUUCGACCCUCCUUCCAGCACAACGAUAUGAGUCGCCUGGUAUUCGUACUCAGGGAGGACACUCGCCUAAAGAGACAAUUUGGCGGCGCGCAUGGAUUGUUAAACGGGUUUUUGUAUGGAUACGGUUAUCCUGGAUACGAAUAUGGACGCUAUUCGUAUUACGGCUAUCAGUAACCUUACGUUGGACCAGCUUAUGGACCAUAAGAUUAUUAUGGUCAUCGUUGGAAUGAAUACAGAUUGUGAAAUUCUUAAAAGAAAAUUACUGCACACACGACGAGGAACUAUUUUUAUGAAAAAGAGGUAAAAGUGGAUUAAUUAUGCUUAGCUUGUUUUGGUGAUGGUUCAGAUUUAAAUGUUGAGCAUGGAUGUUGAUUAAUACUGUAAUAGAAUAAAUGAAAUUUGGAAGUA
RNAcentral lists this long non-coding RNA (1519 nucleotides) under Daphnia magna. RNAcentral's name for it is "uncharacterized LOC123468650, transcript variant X1". The record is from RNAcentral. Lineage: Eukaryota; Metazoa; Arthropoda; Branchiopoda; Diplostraca; Daphniidae.